Coturnix japonica (Japanese quail) is the source of this 3567-nucleotide non-coding RNA. Lineage: Eukaryota; Metazoa; Chordata; Aves; Galliformes; Phasianidae. The record is from RefSeq and is a predicted model, not a curated record.
AUGUAAGUGUGCUUGAGUAAUAAUUCCAAAUCAUCCAUUCAGCACUAAUUGUAACCCGCAAUAUUGCGCACUGCUAACACUGAGGAAUUCUCUUUGUGGGCUGCUAUUUUAGACACUGGUAAAAUGAAUUUAUUUAUUUAUUUUUGUUUAACUCAAACAUAUCCACUGAGAUGUUUACUGGGAAAGAGAAGGAAGUUAAAAAUAUAAAAACGGCUGCGAACCUUUAACACUUUGCCAUCUACUCCAAGAGGAAAAAAAGCUCUUCAGGACUGGAGAAGCAGGGAGGGGAUGAAGGGGACAACAGAGCUGCUUGCCAGCUUGAGACAUGAAGAGGGGAAAGUCUAAAUGAGUCCUUGCACUGAGGAGGCCUUGGGUCCCAUGGGUCUAUGGCAGACAGAAGAGGACACAAUGAGGCAGAUGCAGUGCCCUUGGUGCUUUUUGUAUGCUUGGCCUCCAGAGGCUCUUGUUUGCAAACAACAUCUGUCUUUUGCACUAUUCCAGCACUUCCUUCUGCCAGCCAGGAUCCACUUCUGAGGCUUCCCUGUGACAUCUGCUUCCACCUGGCUUCAGCUGCCAUGAGCAAGUGCCCAGAAGAAGAGGACAACAGCAUGAGGUGUUACCAGGACAGCUAGAAGAAUACAGGCUGUAAGUGCUCAGAACUGCAUGCUUUCCAGGUAAUCUGAUUUCCCAUACAACAUGUUCCUGGGGAAGGCAUUGACUCCAGCUGCUUCUUGAGGAACUCCACUCGCUCCUCCUGCUGAAGAGACCUCAGCUCUGCAUGGGUUGCAGAGGCUUUUUCCCUGUGUGCCCUGUUUGGUUCUAGUUCCCCUACUGGGCUGAUCACUCCCAGGUGAAGCCAGCCCUACAUGUGUUGCAAAUAUUUUCUCUCAAAAUGACUUCAGCAGCAGCUCUAGUGUGAUGCUCAGAGCAUUUCCUGACAAGAAAGGACAUUGUAUAAGACCCUGGCUAUGACAAUGCCUUCCACAAAAGGAGGGAAGGAAGGUAAAUAUAGAAAAUUGAGGAGAUAUUCUGCAUUGAGAGACACAACAAAAGGAAAACUGACAGGAAAUGACUCCACAAUGGGGCCAAAUUCAGGCCCCUUAGUCCUAAACACUCAUAGGCAACCCCCAUCCUCCAGCAGCUGAACAGGGAGUGCCCAGCACCUCUGGAAACUGGGAAUGCCCUAGACAGAAAUCAUUGAGGCUCUUCCUACUGCAUUUGAGAGGUAUUAACAGACUUAUUCAUAUUCACUGCACUCAGUGUCAGAGAAGAUGUUGAUACAACCCAAGCCCAUUUAUUCCCAUGGUGUCUGGUCUAGGUCAGUCAUCCUUGCAUUCUCUGAAGUCAGUGGAGAGAGAACCAGGACGUGCAUGGGGAUCCAGGGUCAUGUCUCUGCAAAACUGCAUCAGAGCAGAUCCUGCCAUCGUCAUUCCUACAGCAUGCAUCCAUCCUUCAGGCCAGGCUGCCUAUAGCUUGGAGGAGCUAUGGGAUGGUGCGUGAAACGAAAGUCCUGGUGCGGGUGAUUCCAGAAGAUCUCAGCGUGACUGCACCAGAGCAGCAAGGAGACCUUUUGGAUGGGGGGGCAGGUUGCCUUCAAAGCAUCAAAGAUGCCCUUCCAGAGAAGGAAUGUACUCAGAUGUUCUGCCUGCACAAUGCCAUGCCACUUAUGAGAAUGUUUUCAGCAAAUAUCAGCCCAGUUCUUCCCCAGCCUUUGCUGAGGACCUCUUAGCAAGCACAGUUGGGUUCCCCAGAAUGCACUUUCCCCAGGUAUAUUUUGGGUUUGGAAAAAUCCUUAAAGAUGUGUAUGUUCAUAGAACCAUAAAAUCAUUAAGGUUGGAAAAGACUUUUAAGAUCAUCUAGUCAGACUGUGUUCAUAGGGUGUCUAGAGAGGAUCUGUUUUGAUAUAAGCUGCCUGCCCAGGGACUUUUCCACUCAAUGAAGUUUUUCCAGCUGUGUGGAAAACCAGUAAGAGCAGGCAUUUCUCCAGCAUUUUGAGAAGAAUUUGCCCUGUGUUAGCAGCUAGCAUCGCUCCACAAAAGAAACAUAAUGUUGAAAAUUAUUUAAAAAUUCUUUUGUCUAUCAAUCAUUUAGUUUACGUAACUUUGUCACUUUUGAAGGUUUUACACAACACCAGAGCUCAGAAAAGUGACUCUUCAGGGGAAAUGCAGAUCAGUAAUUCAGGUUACUGAUGGAGCUUUUCUUCACAAUAGGCCGAAGAGGAAGAGCCUGGAGGACAACGCUUGUGAUAAGAAUGAAGAUCCUCCUGCUACCAAGAAAAUAUCCAAUUAGAGACAGAAAAUUUCUUGAGACAAAUGAGCUUAGCCUCAAUACUGUGAUUCUCCUUCAUAGAAUCAUAGAAUCACAAGGUUGAAAAGGACCUACAAGAUCAUCUAGUCCAACCAGCCCUUUGGACACCAUACUUGAAUAACAACCAGACUGGAUUUAAAUGACAGCACCACCUUUUUCCUUCUGAAGAACUGUGUAUCAUGUGUUAGGAGAAACAAACUCUGUUGCCCACCUCAGCACAUCCUCCUUCCAAUCUUGCAAAUAAUCCAAUCUAUACUUAAAUACCUUUCAGCCACAUUAAUGGAAAACUAUCAUAAUUGUAACUAAGUAUUUUCUCUCUCAUGGCUUCACUCCCCUGUUGAUUUCUGCUGGAACUCAUCUGGAGAAAUUUUACCUCUCUCAGGAGAAAGAAACUGAUGGAUGAAAGAGGAGAGGGAGACACUGUCUGGUCUGUUCUGCUGCUCAGACAGUUUCACAAGAAAGCCAGCUGCUCCGUGAUCUCAUGUAUCCCCACAUGACAAUAGUGCUCUCAAACCAGCGGUUCUCCAUGGCUGUACACACAGAGAUGAAGCACAACCAUCUUUCCCCAGGGCUAUCCUCAUGGGCUUGCUGGCCAUUCCCUGGGAAGAGAGAACACAGGGCAGGUAUGGCACUGGAUGAAUCAGUCCAUCACCUACCUCCAAAGCUGCAGAGGAAACCUUUUCUUCUGUCCCACUCCCAUGUCUGUUUUACUGAUUCUCCCUAAAGUCCAAAGUGUGGUCUGAGCAUUUCCAUUUUUAGACAGAUUGCGUUUUUAUUAAUUUUACAGUAAAUCACUUCGCUAUUUCCUUUGUUUAUGCUAGGUGGAUUCGGUGAUUUCCACGUCUGUGUGAUGCAUUACUUGGCACAUGAGCACAACACAUACCAUCACUUCAUCGUACCCAUCACUGACAUCCCAGCUCUAGGACAAGAAUAUGUAAAAUCCAUCUCCAUGCUGUCACUUCCCUUCUCCCUCUCUUCAAAGGUACCUCUGGAAUCUGCCGCCUUGAAUUCCACCAUCCCAGCCUCCUUCAAGUAGGAGCAUCCAAAAUGCCGAUGCAGCACAGCUUAGACUUGGCCCCAUUGAACCUGCCUCUCCACAUCUCAUCUCCUUCUAAAAUUGUGUAUCUAGCACUUUGUUUGGGGGAGAAUGGCAGCCUCAAAGGGGGAGGAAAGCUCCUGUGUUGUCAGCCCAGGGAAAUACAGACUCCUCUCCCUGACUUCCCCUAUACCUAAGCAUUGGGCCUCUUCUGAGAGCAAACA